Molecule: ribosomal RNA, 253 nt
Filed under: uncultured bacterium
Lineage: Bacteria
Description: partial 16S ribosomal RNA
Rfam family: Bacterial small subunit ribosomal RNA
Source: RNAcentral
UACGAACUGUGCGAACGUUAUUCGGAAUCACUGGGCUUAAAGGGUGCGUAGGCGGUUUGUUAAGUCAGGUGUGAAAUCCCCCGGCUCAACCGGGGAACAGCGCUUGAAACUGGCAGACUGGAGUGAGGCAGGGGUGUGCGGAACUUCCAGUGGAGCGGUGAAAUGUGUAGAUAUUGGAAGGAACGCCGGCGGCGAAAGCGGCACACUGGGCCUUGUCUGACGCUGAGGCACGAAAGCUAGGGGAGUGAACGGG